AGUGAACGCUGGCGAUAGGCCUAACACAUGCAAGUCGAACGGCAGCACAGUAAGAGCUUGCUCUUACGGGUGGCGAGUGGCGGAAGGGUGAGGAAUACAUCGGACUCUACUUUUUGGUGGGGGAUAAGGUAGGGGAACUUACGCUAAUACCGCAUACGCUGUACGGGUGAAAGCAGGGGAUAUUCGGAGCUUGUGCGAUUGAAUGAGCCGAUGUCGGGUUAGCUAGUUGGGGGGGUAAAGGCCCACCAAGGCGACGAUCCGUAGCUGGUCUGAGAGAAUGAUCAGCCACACUGGAACGGGGACACCGUCCAUACUCCUACGGGAGGCAGCAGUGGGGAAGAUUGGACAAUGGGCGCAAGCCUGAUCCAGCCAUACCGCGUGGGUGAAGAAAGCCUUCGGGUUGUAAAGCCCUUUUGUUGGGAAAGAAAAGCAGCAGGUUAAUACCCCGCUGUUCUGACGGUACCCAAAGAAUAAGCACCGGCUAACUUCGUG
Molecule: ribosomal RNA, 492 nt
Filed under: uncultured bacterium
Lineage: Bacteria
Description: partial 16S ribosomal RNA
Rfam family: Bacterial small subunit ribosomal RNA
Source: RNAcentral